Molecule: ribosomal RNA, 465 nt
Filed under: uncultured Klebsiella sp.
Lineage: Bacteria; Pseudomonadati; Pseudomonadota; Gammaproteobacteria; Enterobacterales; Enterobacteriaceae
Description: bacterial SSU rRNA
Rfam family: Bacterial small subunit ribosomal RNA
Source: RNAcentral
CCUACGGGGGGCAGCAGUGGGGAAUAUUGCACAAUGGGCGCAAGCCUGAUGCAGCCAUGCCGCGUGUGUGAAGAAGGCCUUCGGGUUGUAAAGCACUUUCAGCGGGGAGGAAGGCGUUAAGGUUAAUAACCUUGGCGAUUGACGUUACCCGCAGAAGAAGCACCGGCUAACUCGGUGCCAGCAGCCGCGGUAAUACGGAGGGUGCAAGCGUUAAUCGGAAUUACUGGGCGUAAAGCGCACGCAGGCGGUCUGUCAAGUCGGAUGUGAAAUCCCCGGGCUCAACCUGGGAACUGCAUUCGAAACUGGCAGGCUAGAGUCUUGUAGAGGGGGGUAGAAUUCCAGGUGUAGCGGUGAAAUGCGUAGAGAUCUGGAGGAAUACCGGUGGCGAAGGCGGCCCCCUGGACAAAGACUGACGCUCAGGUGCGAAAGCGUGGGGAGCAAACAGGAUUAGAUACCCGAGUAGUC